This 450-nucleotide ribosomal RNA is filed under the name uncultured bacterium. RNAcentral's name for it is "partial 16S ribosomal RNA". It matches the Rfam family "Bacterial small subunit ribosomal RNA", at positions 354 to 796 of the family's 1533-position model. The record is from RNAcentral.
GUGGGGAAUUUUGGACAAUGGGCGCAAGCCUGAUCCAGCAAUGCCGCGUGCAGGAAGAAGGCCUUCGGGUUGUAAACUGCUUUUGUACGGAACGAAACGGUCCUGGCUAAUACCCGGGGCUAAUGACGGUACCGUAAGAAUAAGCACCGGCUAACUACGUGCCAGCAGCCGCGGUAAUACGUAGGGUGCAAGCGUUAAUCGGAAUUACUGGGCGUAAAGCGUGCGCAGGCGGUUUUGUAAGACAGGCGUGAAAUCCCCGGGCUCAACCUGGGAAUUGCGCUUGUGACUGCAAGGCUGGAGUGCGGCAGAGGGGGAUGGAAUUCCGCGUGUAGCAGUGAAAUGCGUAGAUAUGCGGAGGAACACCGAUGGCGAAGGCAAUCCCCUGGGCCUGCACUGACGCUCAUGCACGAAAGCGUGGGGAGCAAACAGGAUUAGAUACCCCAGUAGUCC